AAGCUCAAUUUAGUUUUGACAUUUUUAAUUGAUUUUCUAACAACUCUCUGUUCUCCUGAAAGUUGGAAUAAACACAUGACACAAGAAAAGAAUCUGUUUGCAAGUUCAUCACAUAUCUCAAAUAGUAUUCAAGGUUGAAGCGUUGGUUUUCACGAUAUCUAUUAUCUUUAUGUCUCAAAAUGCUUUCUCUGCUGACUGACAGGAGGGUUAUCGGAUUAGUGGAAAAUCCUGCUCAUUGGACUUUGGUUGAUGCUAAAGGUGUUGGCAAAUUCUAAUACCCAAACAAGUGACUAAAAAAUGCAGAAUCCCUGUAUCCUUUCUUAGAACUGGGACAAGUUAUUGUGAACCAGUUUGAAGCAAUGGCUGCCCAUGGACCAUUAGGCGGAGAGGGGAAGGGGGAAAGGGGAAAAGGGCUCUCGUUUGAACUGUGAAUCCCACUAAUAGUCAAUCCAUUGAUAAUCUCUUAAAAAGAGAGCAUGAAUGAUCACAUAUUGAGUCGAGUGUCUCAGUACGUGAUCUAGCAAAGUGGUAGAGGGAAAUCCCUACAGGUUAGUGAUUCAUUACUGGUGAAAGAGUGGGAUCACACACUAAGCUUCUCAAAAACUAAAGUUAUCCUAAACGCAUGCCACUUCUCUGGUGGACUAUAUUGGAGAGGUAUUAUUAGGUGUUUAAAAAGGAUUUGUAUUGACAAUUAAGUAAAGGUUGGCCUCUCCUCCUCAAUGUUUCGACAAAGAGCAUCAAUGUGUUGCCGGAUUUUCUUUUCCAAGGCAUUGAGAAUUUAUUGUUUGAUUGGUUUAUACCAUCUGCUAUCAUGAGUUUCCUGCGAGAGUGUUUGAACAGGAUAAGCAAUGGAGUGUGUGCGCGCGCGCGCGCUGGCAUUAGAAUUGGUCCACUAAGCCCAACACAGCUGUCCUGCUAUGAUGCCUUGUUCUAAUAACAAUAUGCAAGGGUUUGGUUUUGGCCCUUCUUUAUCUGAUAAUUUUACAGGUUUAAUUCUAUAUGGUGUUGGCUCACUGUAACUAGCUGAGAUUCAAAAAAAUCAAUGUAUUAUUUUAGUUAUUUUAAUUAUUUUUACAGUUAAUUUUAGAUUUUAA
Molecule: long non-coding RNA, 1094 nt
Organism: Populus trichocarpa (black cottonwood)
Lineage: Eukaryota; Viridiplantae; Streptophyta; Magnoliopsida; Malpighiales; Salicaceae
Exons: 3
Source: RefSeq, a predicted model, not a curated record